AAGUUUCUUCUUCUUGCUC
RNAcentral lists this small RNA (19 nucleotides) under Arabidopsis thaliana (thale cress). Its description in RNAcentral is "ATSL283180". Lineage: Eukaryota; Viridiplantae; Streptophyta; Magnoliopsida; Brassicales; Brassicaceae. The record is from RNAcentral.